GACGAACGCUGGCGGCGCGCUUAACACAUGCAAGUCGAACGGAAAGGCCUGCUUUCCCUUGUGGAUUGCGGGUACUCGAGUGGCGAACGGGUGAGUAACACGUGAGUGAUCUGCCCCCAACUUGGGUAUAAGCCCGGGAAACUGGGUCUAAUUCCCGAUAGGACUGCAGGGUGGUGCCUGUGGUGGAAAACGAUUUUCUAGUGGUUGGGGAUGAGCUCGCGGCCUAUCAGCUUGUUGGUGGGGUAAUGGCCUACCAAGGCGGCGACGGGUAGCCGGCCUGAGAGGGUGGACGGCCACAUUGGGACUGGGAUACGGCCCAGACUCCUACGGGAGGCAGCAGUGGGGAAUAUUGCACAAUGGGCGGAAGCCUGAUGCAGCGACGCCGCGUGGGGGAUGACGGCCUUCGGGUUGUAAACUCCUUUCGACCGCGAGGAAGCCACCUGGUUGGAAGGGUGGUGACGGUAGUGGUAGAAGAAGCACCGGCUAACUACGUG
Molecule: ribosomal RNA, 494 nt
Filed under: uncultured bacterium
Lineage: Bacteria
Description: partial 16S ribosomal RNA
Rfam family: Bacterial small subunit ribosomal RNA
Source: RNAcentral